CUUCUCCCCACACUACCAUAUAAUCUAGGAUUUAGUUUGGACAGAUUUACUUAGUUCUAUUACGGGUAUGAGUAUUCCACGAAAUUCAUCUAUCUUCUCUGAAUGAGCCCCACACUCCUGCAAUGCUUCUUUACUUUCACUAAGGAACUUUACUCUCCUGUAGAGGACGACAACAUGCCAACUUCUGCCCUGAAGAAAUGCAUUCACCAGUUUGAUGUUUCUGUUUGUUUUCAAUGCUUGCUCAAUAUGUAAAGCACAGUCUGUCUGCAUUCCUGGCAGUGGAAGCAAGCUCCUAGCUCUGUCUUCCAAGGAACAAAAGCCAUGCUGGCUUACAGCAAGCAACUCAAUUUCAUAAGGCCUCCUGGGAAGAAUGUACAGAAGCAUGGCUCAGUGUCUGGAAGCCACAUCCUUGAAUAAAAAGAGGAGGAGGAAAAGGGCACGAAGGAAGAGGCACACAAGGUCUCCAUACCACACAUGAGAAGUUUUACACACAAUCAG
Molecule: long non-coding RNA, 498 nt
Organism: Gallus gallus (chicken)
Lineage: Eukaryota; Metazoa; Chordata; Aves; Galliformes; Phasianidae
Source: Ensembl